This 265-nucleotide ribosomal RNA is filed under the name uncultured bacterium. RNAcentral describes it as "partial 16S ribosomal RNA". It matches the Rfam family "Bacterial small subunit ribosomal RNA", at positions 793 to 1055 of the family's 1533-position model. The record is from RNAcentral.
GUCCACGCCCUAAACGAUGCCAACUAGGUGUUGGGGAAGGAGACUUCCUUAGUACCGUAGCUAACGCGUGAAGUUGGCCGCCUGGGGAGUACUGUCGCAAGAUUAAAACUCAAAGGAAUUGACGGGGACCCGCACAAGCGGUGGAUGAUGUGGAUUAAUUCGAUGCAACGCGAAAACCUUACCUACCCUUGACAUGCCAGGAACUUGCCAGAGAUGGCUUGGUGCCCGAAAGGGAGCCUGGACACAGGUGCUGCAUGGCUGUCGU